This is a small nucleolar RNA of Sander lucioperca (pikeperch), 125 nucleotides long. Lineage: Eukaryota; Metazoa; Chordata; Actinopteri; Perciformes; Percidae. The record is from Ensembl.
CCCGCCACUAUGCCUGUCAGUCAGUGACUAAGUAUAAUCCAGUGGAGGCUCAGAGUGACCCAGCUUUAGGAAACAGAGCUGCCCCAACUAAUGGACAACUCUGUGCCGUAAAGUCUGGAACACAA